RNAcentral lists this ribosomal RNA (444 nucleotides) under uncultured bacterium. RNAcentral describes it as "partial 16S ribosomal RNA". It matches the Rfam family "Bacterial small subunit ribosomal RNA", at positions 354 to 796 of the family's 1533-position model. The record is from RNAcentral.
GUAGGGAAUAUUGGGCAAUGGUCGGAAGACUGACCCAGCCAUGCCGCGUGCAGGAAGACGGCCCUCUGGGUUGUAAACUGCUUUUAUCUGGGAAGAAAAAGGCCAUGCGUGGCAAAUUGCCGGUACCAGAUGAAUAAGCCCCGGCUAACUCCGUGCCAGCAGCCGCGGUAAUACGGAGGGUGCGAGCGUUGUCCGGAUUUAUUGGGUUUAAAGGGUGCGUAGGCGGCUGAUUAAGUCAGCGUUGAAAGACUUCGGCUUAACCGGAGCAGUGCCGUUGAUACUGGUUGGCUUGAGUGUCGGAGGGGUACAUGGAAUGGAUGGUGUAGCGGUGAAAUGCAUAGAUACCAUCAGGAACACCGAUAGCGAAGGCAUUGUACUGGCCGACAACUGACGCUGAUGCACGAAAGUGUGGGGAUCGAACAGGAUUAGAAACCCUUGUAGUCC